RNAcentral lists this long non-coding RNA (638 nucleotides) under Trifolium pratense (red clover). Its description in RNAcentral is "long non-coding RNA (TPRA_LNC009920)". Lineage: Eukaryota; Viridiplantae; Streptophyta; Magnoliopsida; Fabales; Fabaceae. The record is from RNAcentral.
GAACAUUGGAAAAAUCAAGAACUUCUCACAAAUAUUGACCAAACAAUAAUCACUUCACUCCCUCAUAUUCUCUCCUGUUUGCAUUGUUAAAUUCACUCAAUCAACACAUACAUAGCCAUUCUACCAUAUGCUUGCAAACAUUCUAACAAUCGAUCGACAUGCAUAAAAAUUCACACCUUUAGAGGACUUGAGGGUUAUAACGGGGCUUAGGUUUUUAGGGUGGAUGUUUUUUUUUGGAUGGUAAGCAGAAAAACUUGGAGUUUGAAAGAUCACCUAUUCACAUGAUUGGAUAUUUAUUCAAACAUCUUCCCCAAAAAUCAGGCAUUGUUAUACUAGAGAACCUUUUUCAUUUCUUCUUUUUUUUGUGAAGAGAUUCAUUUACAUUCUCUCUUGGUGUCAUUUUUUUCUCUUUUUUUUUUUUUUCACUAUAUUUUCAAAAUAUUUUUCUUUUUUGGUUCUCUAGUACCCGACCCCAAACUUCAUCAGUUGCUAGUACCAAAAGCAACCCCAAACUUAAUGAUGAGCACUGCUCGAGUCAUAAGUUAUGAUCUAACUCCAAGAAAAUCAUCUUUUUUUUUAUAUAGUUUCAAAACUUGGGUUGUCAAACAAACAAAAUUUUUCAUUCGGCUCAAAUGGGG